This is a non-coding RNA of Chlorocebus sabaeus (green monkey), 6894 nucleotides long. The record is from RefSeq and is a predicted model, not a curated record. Lineage: Eukaryota; Metazoa; Chordata; Mammalia; Primates; Cercopithecidae.
UUGCAUCACUGCACUCCAGCCCGGGCGACAGAGCGAGACUCCGUUUCAAAAAAAAACAAAACAAAACAAAAAACUACCUAGGCUGAACAAGGUGCCUCUCCUCUGCGCUGUCUCAGUCCCUAAGGAAAGUAUUCAUCACAGUCUUAUCUUUUCUGUUAUUUGUCUCUACUAAGCCAAAAGCUCCUUGAGAACAAGAAGAGGGUUUUAUUAAAUUCUGUAUCUUCUACACCUACCAUGUUACUCGUGCUAAAAAACAGUCUAAAAUGCUUCUGAAAUCAUUGGUACCCCGCAGAUGCAAGUUGGUACUAGCACCCAUUCACAGGAGAGUCCCAGGAGACCAGACACCUUACCCUGACAUGCAGGGCUGAGAUCAACUGGGUGAGCUCACAAUAUCUGACCAUCUCCUCAGCAUCUUCAUCUGCUAGGACUCCCUUUCUAAUCACUUUAAUUACUUUAUUGCAGGUUUCAUCAGGAUGAUAACAUGAGGGAGUACAAAGAGACAGCCAAGCCUCCUGAGUUAUUGUGCAGAGAUGGGAACAAUGUCUCAUUAGUCAUGGAAAUUUGAGGACAGACAAAGGUUUUCAGAAUUGGCUGUCAUCAUUGCUCAUAAGUUACAAAGAGAACAUUCAGAGACAGGAACGUGGUCUGGACAGAAAACAAUGGUGGGUGGGAGGAAGGUGGAGGGCUGUCCAUCAGUGGAGAAGUGGGCAUCCGGCACACUUGCAUUCCAAAGGUGGAGGACUGCAUGGAGGGUUUGUGGAUCAAAGCUAUGGACUGUAGAAAGUGGAUUUACCUGACUGGCUCUGGACUUCUCUUCUUCCCUCCAAUAAGGCCACUUGAUUUCCUUCCCUGUGUCCUAAGGGAAAUUUAGGGAUCCACAGAAGCUGUAGACACCAAGACAACUGACUAUCAGCACACCAUGACCCUGGGCUCUGAUCCACACUAGGCUUUAGACUUAUUCCAGGGUAGAACUCGUAGCCUAAACCAAGUUUUAGCCCUGGAAAUUGAGGCAAUACCCUAUACCUAAUCCCUGCUUUGUUGACCUGCUCACUCAAUUUUUCAGUCCAGUGGUUCUCAAUCCUGGAUGCACAUUAUUCAUCUGAGGGCUUUUAAACAUACCAAUGCCUAGAUUUCACCCCAGACCAAAUGAAUCAGAAUUUCUGGGGAUGUGACUUGUGCAUAGAGAUUUUUCAAAGCUCCCCAGGAGGAUUGGUUAUCUAAUACUAUAUAGCAAAUUACUCCAAAAAAUGACUUAAAACAAAAAGUAUGUGUUGUCUCACUGUCUCUGUGGAUCAGGAAGCUAGGGAAUGGUGUAGCUAGGUAGUUUAGGCUCAGGGUCUCCCAUGAAGUUGCAGGUAAAAUGUCAGCUGGGAGCUGGAGUGUCUCUUUUCACAAGAUUCUUUCAUAUGGCUGUUGUUAGGAGACCUCAGUUACUUGCCACAUGGACUCCUCCACAAGUUUGAUUGAGCAUCCUUACAACAUGGCUGCUGGCUUUUCCCACAGCAAAUAAUCCAGGAAAGAGAGAGCAAGACAGAGCCACAAUGUGUUUUUUGGCCCAGCCUUGAAAGUCACACUCCAUCAUUUCCACAAUGUAAUUUUGGUUACUUAGUAUAUACAUAUUCAGUAUGGGAGGGACUGCACAAGGGCUGGUACACAAGGGAGUAAGGUUCUUUGGGGGUCAUUUUCAAGGCUAGCUCCAUACCAGGUAUCUCUAACGUACAGCCAGGGUUGAGAAUCACUGCUUCUAGUCCCUUUGGGGCUGAGGUUCUGUCUUUGUCUUGCUUAGCUCAGAGAGUGAGCCUCCUUGGGACAUUUCCCCUUUAAUAGAUUUAAAGCCUUAAGCUCCUGGGAUAAUCAGCAUUUUACUGGGGGAGGAUGGAGAGUUGGAGGAUGGGGAGCUUUUGGGUCCGUCUCAAACGUGUACCCAUAUUACCACUUACAAAGCCUUUUCAUAGUUUUCUCUCAUUUGAUUCUGAAACAGGCAAGACUUAUUAGCAUUUAUUCUCUUCACACAGCAGCCAGAAUGGUUUUGGUCUUUUUAACUAUAAUAGAUACUUUCAUACAUAAUUCUUUGUUCUGCUAGCAGAUUAUUCCCAUGGGGUAAAUUCUGCAACAUGAAAAUACUUGUUCAAAUCUUUGUUUUCCCCUGUACAGAGGCCCAAGUAGUUUUGCAGUUUGGUUGUUGCUUUUCCAUCUCUUACUGCUUAUUUUAUUUUUAGCAUGUGAAUCCAGUCAUUACACUCCUGUUUAAAAUUGAGCAACGGUCUCCCAACAAUCAUGGGGGUAAGUCUCAAAUUGUUCUGAUCGAUGGGCUGAUGCAUCACUGGCCCUUCUCUUGUCCUCCACCCCAGGCUCAUGCCACUCCAUUUUGCACCUUGAACACUGCUUCUGGCCAUGCAGGCUUAACUGCAGCUCCUCAAGUAUACGAAUCUAUUCUGCUCCACAGGGCCUUUGCAAGAGCUCUUCCUCCAAGUGUGACUCAGAUAAUUUACCCUUCAGGUAUCAGCUAUAAGUCACUUCCUCAAAGAGGUCUUCUCUGAUUCCCCACUCUAAAAGUUUCUCCCGUAGCACCCUAUUUUUCCCCAUCAUAACAUUUAUUGCAAAUUGCAAUAAGAAUUCAUUUGUGUGAUUACUUGUUUAUUUCCACUAGACUAGAAGCUCCAUGAGGACAGAGAUCAUGGACUUCUGUUUGCUGCCUGUCCCCCAGAGCCUACCUGGCAUACAGCAGGUCCUCACAAGAAUCUGUCAGCGGAUGUCUCAGAAUGCCCAGAUAGAGGACUUCACAGCCAGAUUCAUCUCUAAUAGCCACGCAAGGACACCAUGGAGACUCAAAUGCCUGACCACUGGUCUAUCCCCUUCCUGACAGGUAAUUUAUGUUUCUCCCCAUCCCUUCUGUCUACUCAACCUUCCCUGACCACCAUCUCUCUGUGUCCAAAUCCUACUCAUCCUUCGAGGCUCAAACUCUGCCUCCUUCAUGAAGUCCGCCCAUUCCUGCAGUUGCUCGCGAUCCCUCCAGCCUCUGAACCCCCACGGUACUCUCACUCCACCUCCCCGAUGAUCCUUGAAACCAAUCUUCUGCUUUCGAAUCAUAUUAUUUUUGCACAUAUUUUAAGAAUCACUUUCCCCCAACUAUUACAUACAUCUCUCUACUUCAUAACUGCCUGUCUGUACUCUGCAAAGACAAUAUGCCAUGAUGGAAAGAUCACUGGCUUUGGCGUCUGACAGAGCUUAUUUGGUUUGCCCUUUCUCCUUCUUCCCUUUCCUUUAUUUCUUCUGUGACUAUUUCUCAAGGUCUCUAUGUGCCAGGCACCAUGCAGUGCUCUAGCAAGACAAUGCACAAAACAGACACUGCCUCUGCCCUCGUGGAGUUUAGAGACUGAGUUUUCUAAUCUCCAGUCCUUUAAUUACUGGCUGUGUGACUUGGGAAAGUUGUUUCAUCUCAAAGAGCCUCAGUUUCCUCGUUUACAAUACUGGACUUCAUAACAAUUUUUUUCUAGGAGUGUUGGGAAAAUUAAGUGGAGUAAUGUGCAUAAAUUAUUUAAUACUUAACACAUGGUCAAUAAACGUACGUUUUCUCUCCCUAUUCCUCAUUUAGAGAAAAAUAUCUGGGCACUCCAAGAGAUCCAGUGACAGAUUCUGCAGCACAAAAAGAAGGUGCAAGUGGCUCCUAGCAUGGGCAUAUUUUGAUGCAGAGAGGACUUAGAUCCUGGGCUACCCCUAGGAGACAGGUUCAGGUAUGGCACCAACAAAGGUGGCUGUGGGGGUGGAAGGUGAAAUGCGGGAACUCUAGAGGUAGAGGGGCUAGUAAGGGCAGGGAUUCAAGUGUGUUUGCUGAAAGAGAGGAAGGAAGGACUAAAGGAAGAAAAAAAAGGAGGUGAAAAAUAAUGAAAGUUGAUCCAAGAACUUUCUCUGGACUGCCAGCACUCACUGUGCCCUGUUUGCUUUCCUGUCUGGAUUUUAAAAGGAGAUGCUAAUUGCAGCCUGAGAGAAUCAGCUCCAGAUAAAGACAUUAGCUUCCAAAUUAUUUUCAGGCUAUCCAAUGUGCAAAUCCAGUCAUAGAACCAGAGCUGGGGCCUCUGCCAUAGACUAAUUACGAUUUUUCUUUUAAUUCCUCCAGUGUUUUCAGGGUCCCUAAAAGCUGCUUUCCCCGGGCUCCCCACUGAACUUCUGCCCUUCGUAUUUAUAACCCCCUAGUUUCUCCCCUUCCUGGUUUCCCAGACAGUGGUGCAGACAAAAGGACCAUUUAUAACAGCUUUCCUGACAGCUGGACAUUAUUUAAUUACAACUUCUGGCAGCCACAUAGUGUGCUGGAGGCUAUUUAAAGUUCUAGGUGGCAGGAGGAGAAAUGGGGAAACUUAUAACCCUUGGGGGGCAGGAGUGAGGAAAGCCAGUGUGGGCAGUGACCAGAAGAGACCCUCAGAGCCCUGCUCUGAAGUGGCGUUUCUCAGAGCCCCACCCUGUAGCAUCGGAGUCUCUGUGGAAGAGGGCAGAGAUGAUGCCAGCCCCCCAGGGCAUCUCCUGGGGUAGAUAGGGAGUCGCAGAAGCAGCAGCAUCAAACUGAAUAGAAUUGUUGUUUGUCCAGAUGAGCCACCUGUGUUUUACAGAGCAAGAAACUGAGGCACAGAGAGGAAAAAUGACUUGUCCAAAGUCACACAGCAACCAGUACAAUUCUGAAGAAGUCCUCUAAGCUUCCUGAACCUUCUUGCUGCUCCUGUGAAUGAGCAGUCCCUGCCCUACCUGCUUUUGCACAUAGCAGCCACACACUGACCAGUGUCAUCCUGAAGGGCUGAACUGCUGCAUGAGUUAUUCUGAGUGUGAACAAGAGUGUGAUCAUGGGUGCCAGUGUUUGGUCAUCUGGUUAGUCCCACGAGAGUCACUGGUUUUCCACUGAGCUGCAGCAGCCGAUUUGCUGAACCCUUGGUAGCUGCAACCAGGGCAAGGAGAGAGGACUCCCUCACAGUAGAGUAGGGGCUAAGGAAGGCAAGUCUACCAUAGGGUGCUACACCCUGGAGAAGGAAGGACGAAAUGCUAAGUCUGAACAUAAAUCGUAAUAAUGUUGAUCAUAAAAAGCUCCAUGGACUGAAAGCUGUUAAUACCAUCAGUGUUAUUACUAGUAGCAUGUCACCCUUAUGACAUUUCUAUGAAAUACCCAUUAUUUAAUGAUUUUUACAGAUGAGGGAAUGGAAGCUCAGAAUAAUUCAUCACAGCCUGUAGUUCCCCAGUCACUGAUAGGACCAGAUUCAAACCCAACUCUGAUUCCAGUGCUCAUCAUGUUUUCACCAUGCCAGUAGUUCUCAAUCCCCGUUGCAUGUUAGAAAUCCCCAGUGAACAUUUACAACAUAGGAAGGCCUAGAGCUUACCACAGACCAGUUACAUCGAUCUCUCUCAAGGCAUGGUCCUGGAAUGAGUAUUUUUAAGUGAGUCUAAUAUAUGGCCAUACCCGACCAACAUGCAUCACAGCAUCCAUGCUGGUGAGAGCCCCCACCAGUGUGAUAUCUAAAGUAUGAGCCACUCCCACCACCACCUCCCCACGGCAUCUAAAAGCAUCUCAGAUGGCCAUGACAGGCUGAUGCUUGGUGGCCAGGGUUGUGCAGCACUCUAAUGACCUCUGUUGAUGCCAGUUCUCCUUGUGACUCUCUUGGUUGCUCUGCUGACAUCACCUUCCUGCCUGUAGUCUCAGUUCCUACCACUGUCCCUAGAGAUCAUCACCUGGCUAUACCAACUCUGACCAGUCCACUAAUCUUAGCAGCUCUUAGCAGCAGACUGGCAUCCUUGUAGGUUGAGUCUGGGCUGGAGAUUAGCAUGGAACCAGUUGAUUAGAGCCUGGUCUGGAGAACAGCACCUGUGAGAGGAAAACAGAGACAUUAGGAGUAAGUCUCUCUGUGUUGAAUUGGGAUCUGAGUGAUGUACCACCGCAUCUGCAUCAGCCCUUAGCAGAGGGCUGAAUUUGUGUGGGAUCCCAGGAAAGAUCCUCAUUUCCAGAGAGUUGGGGAGACUCUACUGGAGCACAGCACGGAGCCCCCAUGGGCAGGACUGUCAACUACCUCACUCUAUGAUGGCAUUGCAACCCUCCUGCCCACCCAGAGCUUCACUCAAGUUCCCUUAGGGGCUCAGCUAAAAACAAUUUGAGGGACUUGGCAGACCAGCACUCCCAGUCAGCCUUUACAAGAGUCUUUGCAUCGCCUGGCAUGCCCUGCUCUCUCUUUCCCAGGGUGGAGCUAUGGGGACGGGGGUGGCUGCAGGAGCAGUCUUAUCCCCUUUAUUCUACCAGCAUCUGGGAGCCAGUCACCAUUCAGCUCAUUUUACCCUCAGGAACCAAGACAGAAUUUUCCUGCCCUUGAGAAGUUCACAGGGAAAUGGGGGAGAUAAAAACAGAACUUGCGAUGAAAUUGCAGUAUUGCCGUUAAAAUGGCAUGCCUACAGAAGCAGCUGCUCAGGAAGGAAGUGAUUUUCUCCAUCUGGAGGCAGGUCAGGGAAGAGGCUGUCAUGUUAGAAAGGCUUAAGAAAGAUGUUGAAGUGCUAGAACAGGAUUUUGAAGAAUGACUAGAAGUCUGCCCAGCAGAUACUGUGGUGAAAAGCAUUCCAGUUAGAGGUCUGUGCAAAGGCUAGGACCCCUAACCUUCAGGUUAUUAGCAAACAACGCGUGCUUGAUUAGUGUUGGUUAGGUGACAGGGAGGUAGGAGUCAGGGACCCAGGAGAGGAGGCUGGGAAGGUAGGCAAGGGCAGAAAAUGGAGAGCUCUAUGACAAUGCAAAGGAACCUGAACCUUGCCCUGAACGCAAUGACUUUCUACUGAAGAACAGCAUGGGCUGCCACAUUUUUUAAAUGCAGGACAUAACAAAGAGGAUUCCCUGUCCUGUUCUUCCCUUGAUCCAUUUUCUACUUCCUAGCCGUA